AAAUGAAUAGACGGGGGCCCGCACAAGCAGUGGAGUAUGUGGUUUAAUUCGACGCAACGCGAAGAACCUUACCAGGGCUUGACAUCCUCUGACGACGUAAGAGAUUACGUUUUCCCUUCGGGGACAGAGAGACAGGUGGUGCAUGGUUGUCGUCAGCUCGUGUCGUGAGAUGUUGGGUUAAGUCCCGCAACGAGCGCAACCCCUAUUGCCAGUUGCCAGCAAGUAAUGUUGGGCACUCUGGCGAGACUGCCGUUGACAAAACGGAGGAAGGUGGGGACGACGUCAAAUCAUCAUGCCCCUUAUGUCCUGGGCUACACACGUACUACAAUGGCAACAACAGAGGGCGGCCAAACCGCGAGGUUGAGCGAAUCCCAAAAUGUUGUCUCAGUUCAGAUUGCAGGCUGAAACUCGCCUGCAUGAAGUCGGAAUUGCUAGUAAUGGCAGGUCAGCAUACUGCCGUGAAUACGUUCCCGGGCCUUGCACACACCGCCCGU
This 494-nucleotide ribosomal RNA is filed under the name uncultured bacterium. Its description in RNAcentral is "bacterial SSU rRNA". It matches the Rfam family "Bacterial small subunit ribosomal RNA", at positions 903 to 1397 of the family's 1533-position model. The record is from RNAcentral.